GCGGMGGCUUAACACAUGCAAGUCGAGCGGUAGCACAAGRGAGCUUGCUCUCUGGGUGACGAGCGGCGGACGGGUGAGUAAUGUCUGGGAAACUGCCUGAUGGAGGGGGAUAACUACUGGAAACGGUAGCUAAUACCGCAUAACGUCGCAAGACCAAAGAGGGGGACCUUCGGGCCUCUUGCCAUCAGAUGUGCCCAGAUGGGAUUAGCUAGUAGGUGGGGUAAUGGCUCACCUAGGCGACGAUCCCUAGCUGGUCUGAGAGGAUGACCAGCCACACUGGAACUGAGACACGGUCCAGACUCCUACGGGAGGCAGCAGUGGGGAAUAUUGCACAAUGGGCGCAAGCCUGAUGCAGCCAUGCCGCGUGUGUGAAGAAGGCCUUCGGGUUGUAAAGCACUUUCAGCGAGGAGGAAGGUGGUGARCUUAAUACGYUCAUCAAUUGACGUUACUCGCAGAAGAAGCACCGGCUAACUCCGUGCCAGCAGCCGSGGGGUAAUACA
Molecule: ribosomal RNA, 500 nt
Filed under: bacterium SNB-CN27
Lineage: Bacteria
Description: bacterial SSU rRNA
Rfam family: Bacterial small subunit ribosomal RNA
Source: RNAcentral